CGGUUUAUUAAGUCUCUGGUGAAAUCCCGUAGCUUAACUAUGGGAAUUGCUGGAGAUACUAGUAGACUUGAGGUCGGGAGAGGUUAGAGGUACUCCCAGGGUAGGGGUGAAAUCCUGUAAUCCUGGGAGGACCACCUGUGGCGAAGGCGUCUAACUGGAACGAACCUGACGGUGAGGGACGAAAGCUAGGGGCGCGAACCGGAUUAGAUACCCGGGUAGUCCUAGCCGUAAACGAUGCGGACUUGGUGUUAGGAUGGCUUUGAGCCGCUCUAGUGCCGAAGGGAAGCUGUUAAGUCCGCCGCCUGGGAAGUACGGCCGCAAGGCUGAAACU
RNAcentral lists this ribosomal RNA (331 nucleotides) under uncultured Methanobrevibacter sp. RNAcentral describes it as "bacterial SSU rRNA". It matches the Rfam family "Archaeal small subunit ribosomal RNA", at positions 526 to 856 of the family's 1478-position model. The record is from RNAcentral. Lineage: Archaea; Methanobacteriati; Methanobacteriota; Methanobacteria; Methanobacteriales; Methanobacteriaceae.